GAUUAACUUUGGCGGUACGUCUAAUACAUGCAAGUCGAACGGAGACUUUGAUGCUUGCAUUAAAGUUUUAGUGGCGAACGGGUGAGUAACACGUGAGUAACCUGCCUAUAAGAUGGGGAUAACAAACGGAAACGGGUGCUAAUACCCAAUAAGAGUUAGUAAGGCAUCUUACAGAUUUAAAAGGGUGGUGUAAGCCACCGCUAAUAGAGGGGCUCGCGGCGCAUUAGCUAGUUGGUGGGGUAAAGGCCUACCAAGGCGAUGAUGCGUAGCCGGACUGAGAGGUUGAACGGCCACAUUGGGACUGAGAACGGCCCAAACUCCUACGGGAGGCAGCAGUAGAGAAUCUUCGGCAAUGGGGGGGAACCCUGACCGAGCGAUACCGCGUGAGUGAUGAAGUACUUUUAGUAUGUAAAAUUCUUUUAUUUAAGAGAAAUGGUAUUAGUAGGGAAUGGCUAGUAAGUGAUAGUAUUAAAUGAAUAAGCCCCGGCUAACUAUGUGCCAGCAGCCGCGGUAAUACAUAGGGGGCGAGCGUUAUCCGGAAUUAUUGGGUGUAAAGGGUGCGUAGGCGGAAGAUUAAGUUUUAGGUAUAAAUGCGCUGCUCAACGGCGUAUUGCUUAAAAAACUGGUCAACUAGAGUGAGGCAGAGGCAAGUGGAAUUCCAUGUGUAGUGGUAAAAUGCGUAAAUAUAUGGAGGAACACCAGUGGCGAAGGCGGCUUGCUGGGCCUAGACUGACGCUCAUGCACGAAAGCGUGGGGAGCAAACAGGAUUAGAUACCCUGGUAGUCCACGCCGUAAACGAUGGAUGCUAGGUGUUUGGGGAGACCUAAGUGCCGCAGUUAACGCAGUAAGCAUCCCACCUGAGUAGUACGUGCGCAAGCAUAAAACUCAAAGGAAUCGGCGGGACCUCGCACAAGCGGUGGAUCAUGUUGUUUAAUUCGUGGAUACGCGAAAAACCUUACCAGGUCUUGACAUCUAGGGCGAAGAGCUAUGAAAGUAGUUUGGAGGAUAUCCCUAAGACAGGUGGUGCAUGGUUGUCGUCAGCUCGUGUCGUGAGAUGUAUGGUUAAGUCCAGUAACGAGCGCAACUCUUAUCGUUAGUUGCCAUCAUUAAGUUGGGAACUCUAGCGAGACUGCCAGUGAAAAAUUGGAGGAAGGUGGGAAUGACGUCAAAUCAUCAUGCCCCUUAUGGCCUGGGCUACAAACGUGAUACAAUGGUUGGGAACAAAGGGAAGCGAAGCAGUGAUGUGGAGCGAAUCUCAUAAAACCAAUCUCAGUUCAGAUUGAAGUCUGCAACUCGACUUCAUGAAGCCGAAAUCGCUAGUAAUCGUAGAUCAGCACGCUACGGUGAAUACGUUCUCGAGGUU
RNAcentral lists this ribosomal RNA (1363 nucleotides) under uncultured bacterium. Its description in RNAcentral is "bacterial SSU rRNA". It matches the Rfam family "Bacterial small subunit ribosomal RNA", at positions 28 to 1381 of the family's 1533-position model. The record is from RNAcentral.